RNAcentral lists this ribosomal RNA (470 nucleotides) under uncultured bacterium. Its description in RNAcentral is "partial 16S ribosomal RNA". It matches the Rfam family "Bacterial small subunit ribosomal RNA", at positions 28 to 507 of the family's 1533-position model. The record is from RNAcentral.
GACGAACGCUGGCGGCGUGCUUAACACAUGCAAGUCGAACGCUGAAGCACCAGCUUGCUGGUGUGGAUGAGUGGCGAACGGGUGAGUAAUACGUGAGUAACCUGCCCUUGACUCUGGGAUAAGCCCGGGAAACUGGGUCUAAUACUGGAUGCUACAUGUCACCGCAUGGUGGUGUGUGGAAAGGGUUUACUGGUCUUGGAUAGGCUCACGGCCUAUCAGCUUGUUGGUGAGGUAAUGGCUCACCAAGGCGACGACGGGUAGCCGGCCUGAGAGGGUGACCGGCCACACUGGGACUGAGACACGGCCCAGACUCCUACGGGAGGCAGCAGUGGGGAAGAGUGCACAAUGGGCGAAAGCCUGAUGCAGCGACGCCGCGUGAGGGAUGACGGCCUUCGGGUUGUAAACCUCGUUCAGCAGGGAAGAAGCCACAAGUGACGGUACCUGCAGAAGAAGCGCCGGCUAACUACGUG